AGAGUUUGAUCCUGGCUCAGGAUGAACGCUAGCGGCAGGCUUAACACAUGCAAGUCGAGGGGCAGCAUAAUGGAUAGUCAAUAUCUAUGGUGGCGACCGGCGCACGGGUGCGUAACGCGUAUGCGAACCUACCUUUAACAGGGGGGAUAACACUGAGAAAUUGGUACUAGUACCCCAUAAUAUCAUAGAAGGCAUCGUUUUAAUGGUUGAAAAUUCCGAUGGUUAGAGAUGGGCAUGCGUUGUAUUA
RNAcentral lists this ribosomal RNA (247 nucleotides) under uncultured bacterium. RNAcentral's name for it is "partial 16S ribosomal RNA". It matches the Rfam family "Bacterial small subunit ribosomal RNA", at positions 8 to 243 of the family's 1533-position model. The record is from RNAcentral.